Molecule: ribosomal RNA, 431 nt
Filed under: uncultured bacterium
Lineage: Bacteria
Description: bacterial SSU rRNA
Rfam family: Bacterial small subunit ribosomal RNA
Source: RNAcentral
UACGGAAGGCAGCAGUGGGGAAUAUUGGACAAUGGGCGAAAGCCUGAUCCAGCCAUGCCGCAUGAGUGAAGAAGGCCUUCGGGUUGUAAAGCUCCUUUAGUGAGAAAGAUAAUGACGGUACUCACAGAAGAAGUCCUGGCUAACUCCGUGCCAGCAGCCGCGGUAAUACGGAGAGGGCUAGCGUUAUUCGGAAUUAUUGGGCGUAAAGAGCGCGUAGGCUGAUUAGUAAGUUAAAAGUGAAAUCCCAAAGCUUAACUUUGGAAUUGCUUUUUAAAACUGCUAGUCUAGAGAUUGAAAGAGGAUAGAGGAAUUCCUAGUGUAGAGGUGAAAUUCGUAAAUAUUAGGAGGAACACCAGUGGCGAAGGCGUCUAUCUGGUUCAAAUCUGACGCUGAGGCGCGAAGGCGUGGGGAGCAAACAGGGAUUAGAUACC